Long non-coding RNA from Perca flavescens (yellow perch), 764 nucleotides. RefSeq lists it as uncharacterized. The record is from RefSeq and is a predicted model, not a curated record. NCBI's taxonomy places the organism in Eukaryota, Metazoa, Chordata, Actinopteri, Perciformes, Percidae. The transcript has 3 exons.
UUCUGUCUUCUCCUGUUGGGUGUGGAGGCGUGUCAGGGCUGGUGUGCUGCACACUUUUUGCCGCUGCCCUAGGUCGUCCGUUUGCUGUGGUGUGAGCCGACCCUGUCUUGGCUGGGGAUGUCCCCGUGUGGGAAGAUGUAUAGCCUACCUGGGCUGCUGGCGUUGGGCGUCUCAUGUGGGCCGCUGUGCACGUGCGCGGAGAGGGUGCCUCCGCCGGGGUCUGAGGGCGGCCUGUCCUGUAAAUCGCUGGACCGGGCUGCAGUCUCAUACAUGCUGCUGUGGGGCUAUCGUGGUGCCACAACUAAUUAAAGGGCCAGUACUCCCCGGCGCGUUCUUCCCCCCACUGAGGCUGUUCCGGUAAAAGUGGUCUGGAUACUAGUACAAAAGUGGUCUCGAUACUAGUACAAAAGUGGUCUGGAUACUAGUACAAAAGUGGAUACUAGUACAAAAGUGGUCUGGAUACUAGUACAAAAGUGGUCUGGAUACUAGUACAAAAGUGGAUACUAGUACAAAAGUGGUCAGGAUACUAGUACAAAAGUGGUCUGGAUACUAGUACAAAAGUGGAUACUAGUACAAAAGUGGUUUGGAUACUAGUACAAAAGUGGAUACUAGUACAAAAGUGAUCUGGAUUCUAGUACAAAAGCAGUCUGGAAACUGGUACAAAACUGGCUCUGUACAUAUUGUAUUAACUGUUGUACAUAUUGCAUGUGGGUUUUUGUUCUUGUUAUUUUGGUUGAUUUUGUUUGAUUUUUCUUUCUUUUUCA